AGUGAACGCUGGCGGCAGGCCUAACACAUGCAAGUCGAACGGCAGCACAAGAGCGCUUGCUCUCUGGGUGGCGAGUGGCGGACGGGUGAGGAAUGCAUCGGAAUCUGCCCAUUUGUGGGGGAUAACCUCGGGAAACCGGGACUAAUACCGCAUACGACCUACGGGUGAAAGCAGGGGAUCUUCGGACCUUGCGCAGAUGGAUGAGCCGAUGCCGGAUUAGCUAGUUGGAGGGGUAAAGGCCCACCAAGGCGACGAUCCGUAGCUGGUCUGAGAGGAUGAUCAGCAACACUGGGACUGAGACACGGCCCAGACUCCUACGGGAGGCAGCAGUGGGGAAUAUUGGACAAUGGGCGCAAGCCUGAUCCAGCCAUGCCGCGUGUGUGAAGAAGGCCUUCGGGUUGUAAAGCACUUUUGUUGGGAAAGAAAAGCAGCCGGUUAAUACCCGGUUGUCAUGACGGUACCCAAAGAAUAAGCACCGGCUAACUUCGUG
RNAcentral lists this ribosomal RNA (490 nucleotides) under uncultured bacterium. RNAcentral's name for it is "partial 16S ribosomal RNA". It matches the Rfam family "Bacterial small subunit ribosomal RNA", at positions 29 to 507 of the family's 1533-position model. The record is from RNAcentral.